GGAGAGGUGCGGGAGUGGUUUAACCGGCACGCCUGGAGAGCGUGUGUACCUUAUGGUACCCUGGGUUCGAAUCCCAGCCUCUCCGCCA
This 88-nucleotide transfer RNA is filed under the name subsurface metagenome. Its description in RNAcentral is "tRNA-Ser". It matches the Rfam family "tRNA". From Rfam's summary of the family: Transfer RNA (tRNA) molecules are approximately 80 nucleotides in length. Their secondary structure includes four short double-helical elements and three loops (D, anti-codon, and T loops). The record is from RNAcentral.